This 38-nucleotide transfer RNA is filed under the name Loxocarpus verbeniflos. RNAcentral's name for it is "partial tRNA-Phe". Lineage: Eukaryota; Viridiplantae; Streptophyta; Magnoliopsida; Lamiales; Gesneriaceae. The record is from RNAcentral.
UGGUCGGGAUAGCUCAGCUGGUAGAGCAGAGGACUGAA